RNAcentral lists this ribosomal RNA (619 nucleotides) under uncultured bacterium. RNAcentral's name for it is "bacterial SSU rRNA". It matches the Rfam family "Bacterial small subunit ribosomal RNA", at positions 188 to 823 of the family's 1533-position model. The record is from RNAcentral.
GCAUGACUUGAUUAUGAAAGAUUUAUCGCUUAUGGAUGGACUCGCGUCAGAUUAGAUAGUUGGUGAGGUAACGGCUCACCAAGUCAACGAUCUGUAGCCGAACUGAGAGGUUGAUCGGCCGCAUUGGGACUGAGACACGGCCCAGACUCCUACGGGAGGCAGCAGUGGGGAAUAUUGCGCAAUGGGGGCAACCCUGACGCAGCAACGCCGCGUGCAGGAAGAAGGUCUUCGGAUUGUAAACUGUUGUCGCAAGGGAAGAAGACAGUGACGGUACCUUGUGAGAAAGUCACGGCUAACUACGUGCCAGCAGCCGCGGUAAUACGUAGGUGACAAGCGUUGUCCGGAUUUACUGGGUGUAAAGGGCGCGUAGGCGGACUGUCAAGUCAGUCGUGAAAUACCGGGGCUUAACCCCGGGGCUGCGAUUGAAACUGACAGCCUUGAGUAUCGGAGAGGAAAGCGGAAUUCCUAGUGUAGCGGUGAAAUGCGUAGAUAUUAGGAGGAACACCAGUGGCGAAGGCGGCUUUCUGGACGACAACUGACGCUGAGGCGCGAAAGUGUGGGGAGCAAACAGGAUUAGAUACCCUGGUAGUCCACGCCGUAAACGAUGGAUACUAGGUGU